This 166-nucleotide ribosomal RNA is filed under the name uncultured bacterium. RNAcentral's name for it is "partial 16S ribosomal RNA". It matches the Rfam family "Bacterial small subunit ribosomal RNA", at positions 367 to 525 of the family's 1533-position model. The record is from RNAcentral.
GGAAAAGGGCGCACCUGAUCAGCCAUGCCGCGUGGUGUGAAGAAGGCCUUCGGGUUGUAAAGCNCUUUCAGNUGGUGAGGAAGGCGUUGUANUUAAUAGCUGCANCGCAUUGACGUUAGCCACANAAGAAGCNCCGGCUAACUCCGUGCCAGCAGCCGCGGUAAUA